AUCCAGCUGACGAGUUCAAAAUAAGACAAAACACGCGUCCUAGAU
Molecule: non-coding RNA, 45 nt
Filed under: Schistosoma mattheei
Lineage: Eukaryota; Metazoa; Platyhelminthes; Trematoda; Strigeidida; Schistosomatidae
Source: RNAcentral